UACAGAGGUCCCAAGCGUUGUUCGGAUUCACUGGGCGUAAAGGGUGCGUAGGUGGCCGGUUAAGUCUGACGUGAAAUCUCCGAGCCUAACUCGGAAACUGCAUCGGAAACUAUCCGGCUCGAGGGUUGGAGGGGGGACUGGAAUACUUGGUGUAGCAGUGAAAUGCGUAGAUAUCAAGUGGAACACCUGAGGUGAAGACGGGUUGCUGGGCUGACACUGACGCUGAGGCGCGAAAGCCAGGGGAGCAAACGGG
RNAcentral lists this ribosomal RNA (253 nucleotides) under uncultured bacterium. RNAcentral's name for it is "partial 16S ribosomal RNA". It matches the Rfam family "Bacterial small subunit ribosomal RNA", at positions 524 to 776 of the family's 1533-position model. The record is from RNAcentral.